UAUUUGUGAAGAUAGAGCUGUCUUGGAUAAGUUUUUAAACAUUUAAUAUAAUUUUCCUCUUUGCAGGAUAAUGAUUUAAGAAAGCAAAUUGAAAAAUUUUUGGCCUACAAAAUUGAAGAAGGUGAACGUGUGCGCAAGUUAGUGAAACAUCAAGAGUUGGAUAAAGAGAGAGAAAGAAAAUACAGAGGAGAAAAAAAAGAACAUUCUUUUGGGACAGAAAAAGAGAGGCUUUCUACAGAGAAAAGUUAUAAACAUUAUGGAGAGGAAGAGGAAGAAAAACAUAAAUCAAAGAGAUCUAAAGAAAAAUCUUCCCAUGGAGACAGAGAAGGGCCAGCAGCAGAAGCUGAUGAGAGAGUAAAAAGUAGAGAAAAGGAAAGAAAGAAAUAUGAUCUAAAGAGCAGUGAAUACAAAAAGGAGGAGAGGAUUCAAGAAGAAAUGAGCCAUCAGCUUGUAAGAACUGUAAAAGAUAAAGGAAAACUCGUUGAAACAGAGGACAUGGACAAAAGACAAGAGGAGGCAACACAGGAGGGAGAAAUUCCUACUCAAGACCUGACUCAACAAGGACGCUGAAAUUCCAGGGAUUUGCAUUCUAUGUUGUUGGGUUUUUUGUUUUUUUUUUUGUUUGUUUUUUUUUUUUUUUGUAUAUUUUUUGCUCCAAAUGCCACAGCCUUCAAGAUAUUCCAGCAUAAUUUCCCAAUCCUGUUUUGUAUUGACAAUAUAUAGAUUUUCUCUAUAAAUUCUUGAAAGUAGGAACCCAGACAGUACUGACAGGUGGAGGUUUUUAGUGUGUAAAAACCAUAUUUGUACCAGAUGCAUCUGUGUUUUUA
This 827-nucleotide long non-coding RNA is filed under the name Junco hyemalis (dark-eyed junco). RNAcentral's name for it is "lncRNA (ENSJHYG00000006284.1)". The record is from RNAcentral. Lineage: Eukaryota; Metazoa; Chordata; Aves; Passeriformes; Passerellidae.